This 274-nucleotide ribosomal RNA is filed under the name uncultured bacterium. RNAcentral describes it as "partial 16S ribosomal RNA". It matches the Rfam family "Bacterial small subunit ribosomal RNA", at positions 523 to 796 of the family's 1533-position model. The record is from RNAcentral.
AUACAGAGGGUGCAAGCGUUAAUCGGAUUUACUGGGCGUAAAGCGCGCGUAGGCGGCUAAUUAAGUCAAAUGUGAAAUCCCCGAGCUUAACUUGGGAAUUGCAUUCGAUACUGGUUAGCUAGAGUGUGGGAGAGGAUGGUAGAAUUCCAGGUGUAGCGGUGAAAUGCGUAGAGAUCUGGAGGAAUACCGAUGGCGAAGGCAGCCAUCUGGCCUAACACUGACGCUGAGGUGCGAAAGCAUGGGGAGCAAACAGGAUUAGAAACCCCAGUAGUCC